CCUACGGGAGGCAGCAGUAGGGAAUUUUCGGCAAUGGGGGGAACCCUGACCGAGCAACGCCGCGUGAACGAAGAAGUUAUUCGUAAUGUAAAGUUCUUUUAACAGGGAAGAAAGAGACAUUUGACGGUACCUGAAGCAUAAGCUCCGGCUAACUACGUGCCAGCCGCCGCGGUAAUACGUAGGGAGCGAGCGUUAUCCGGAAUUAUUGGGCGUAAGGGGUGCGUAGAUGGCAUAGUAAGUCUUUUGUAAAAAUGCUGGUCUCAACCCAGUAGGGCAAAAGAUACUGCAAAGCUAGAGUAUGACAGAGGCAAGUGGAACUACAUGUGUAGCGGUAAAAUGCGUAAAUAUAUGUAAGAACACCAGUGGCGAAGGCGGCUUGCUGGGUCGAUACUGACAUUGAGGCACGAAAGCGUGGGGAGCAAACAGGAUUAGAUACCCGAGUAGUC
RNAcentral lists this ribosomal RNA (446 nucleotides) under uncultured bacterium. Its description in RNAcentral is "partial 16S ribosomal RNA". It matches the Rfam family "Bacterial small subunit ribosomal RNA", at positions 338 to 795 of the family's 1533-position model. The record is from RNAcentral.